GAUGAACGCUGGCGGCGUGCCUAAUACAUGCAAGUCGAGCGAACAGACGAGGAGCUUGCUCCUCUGACGUUAGCGGCGGACGGGUGAGUAACACGUGGAUAACCUACCUAUAAGACUGGGAUAACUUCGGGAAACCGGAGCUAAUACCGGAUAAUAUAUUGAACCGCAUGGUUCAAUAGUGAAAGACGGUUUUGCUGUCACUUAUAGAUGGAUCCGCGCCGCAUUAGCUAGUUGGUAAGGUAACGGCUUACCAAGGCAACGAUGCGUAGCCGACCUGAGAGGGUGAUCGGCCACACUGGAACUGAGAAACGGUCCAGACUCCUACGGGGGGCAGCAGUAGGGAAUCUUCCGCGAUGGGCGAAAGCCUGACGGAGCAACGCCGCGUGAGUGAUGAAGGUCUUCGGAUCGUAGAACUCUGUUAUUAGGGAAGAACAAAUGUGUAAGUAACUAUGCACGUCUUGACGGUACCUAGUCAGAAAGCCACGGCUAACUACGUG
This 497-nucleotide ribosomal RNA is filed under the name uncultured bacterium. RNAcentral's name for it is "partial 16S ribosomal RNA". It matches the Rfam family "Bacterial small subunit ribosomal RNA", at positions 28 to 507 of the family's 1533-position model. The record is from RNAcentral.